CCCCGCCCAGGCCCCUUGGCCCCGGCAGCAAGCAUCGAGUCCCCCGGGAGCCAUCUUCUCUCCUAAACAGAACUGCGAAAAGAAAUAUGCAGCGAUGGAAGGGGUAAAAAGCCUGCUGCCCUCCCUAACAGAGCCCUCUCGGACGGGACAGGUGACAACCGGGACAUAACAGCAACUGCCAGGAGCAGCGGCGUCUCCGCGGGCACACAGAUCAUCAGAAAACUUUGGAGACUUUCUCUCUGGAAAAUGUCCUCUCUCACAUCUAUUCCUUCCGUUGUCGUGACUACACAGAGCCGCUGGCCCAGGUCUACCUCGUGCCAGAAUUCCUGUCAGAGCAUUCCAAGGUCCGACUGGUGGUGAUUGAUGGAAUUGCCUUUCCCUUUCGCCAUGACUUUGAGGACCUGUCUCUGCGCACGAGGUUGCUGAAUCUGCUGGAUUGGCCUUGUCUUCUGGCAUCCAUGGAAACUCAGAGCCUCCUUCCUGGGCAUUGUUCCUACGUCACUGGCGGUCUGGAGGCAGCAGAGCCGCAGCCAGCAGAUGGCACUGGAAGCUGCAGCUGUUCCAGAAGUUGUUUUGGAAGUCUCUGGCAGCUCACAGAAGCAUUGUUCAGGAAUUGGAGCUUCCCCAGCUCUCAAAAUGGUGCUUGUGCCCCUAACAGUGUCCAGGUGACUUGUGACCUUGUCACCCACAGCUCUCUGGUGCAAUUGGCUUUUGUUCCAAGCUGUUAAAAAUAAAACUCUUGUGUUUCCUCUGGGAGCUGUAGGAAGGGAAGAGCCCAGCAUUGGCAGUGUCCUGACAUGAACUCUGGAGCUCCUUGCUGCUGCUCUGGGCACCAGGGAGAUGAUGUUCCAGGAUCUGCACAGCCUCAGUUUUCCUGAGUGCUUUUCCCCACAGCUUGGUACCUGGUCACCUUGAACAGCAGCUGCUGUCAUUGGACAAUGUUUUUCUUUGGUCAAGGAUAAAAGAUAGAAAUAAUUUCUUCUGAACCAGGGAGCAAUUUAGUAUAAAGGUGCUAAAGAAACUCUUGCUGAAGGAGUCAGAGCUUCAGGAAUGGUUUUGCUUGGAUUGGCCCUCUUGUUAGUGGUGUCUGAGUUAGGUGCAUGAGCUGGGAGCAGGCUAAAUCCAACCUGCAUGCCAAAGAUUGCUUCUCAGGCAGCUCUGGAUGCUCUACUAUGGAAGGAAAGUCAGAUGCUAAAGCUGGACUCAGAGUGAGGAUGCCCAGCCCUUCUCCAGCAGGGAGAAAAGGAGGCUAUUUGGGGCUGUUACCAGGCACUUGUGAUGAGUUCCUUCUCUAAAAUGUGCAAUAUCUGUGCUGGGCUCUGGGCUGUGUGAAUGUUUUAGGGUGUGCUCAGUGGAGCUGUUUGCUCCCAUACACUUUUCUGAAUUGCUUCUGCAAGAAUCCACUGAGCAUGUCAAGCAAUGGAGCUCUCUAGGGUCUUAGAUGGGUACAAUUUUUCAUUUUUAAUGAACUUUGUCAUUAAUAUUCCUUGUUCUUUUCUGUCUCACCCAGCCCCACUUCUACUAGGGACCUAUCCUAGACUGUCUGUGAGCCUUGCACA
Molecule: long non-coding RNA, 1559 nt
Organism: Catharus ustulatus (Swainson's thrush)
Lineage: Eukaryota; Metazoa; Chordata; Aves; Passeriformes; Turdidae
Exons: 4
Source: RefSeq, a predicted model, not a curated record